Molecule: long non-coding RNA, 434 nt
Filed under: Homo sapiens (human)
Lineage: Eukaryota; Metazoa; Chordata; Mammalia; Primates; Hominidae
Description: non-protein coding lnc-GAREM2-2:1
Source: RNAcentral
CUGGGAACAACUCUAUUUCCCCAGGAACUAGGGGAUCUCGCUCCUUUUCCUGUUCUGAUUCCAGUGGAAUGCCAGUGUGUCAACUCCUAGGAUUUGCUGCCAUCUUCAAGACAUCAGGUCUUAAAUCUGGAGAAGGAAGCUACACCACGCUUUUGGAGCCAUGCAUAUUAUCCAGGUCUAUCUAUUGCUCAGAUUGGAAUUUCAGGGGAAUUGUUGGACAAUCUGUUUCAGGCGACAAAGGCAAAGCUGUUGGAUCCCCAGCUAAUUAUUGACUUGGCUCACAGAAAAGAUGUUGGAUUAUUUCUACAGUUUUACUCCAUCAUUUGCAGUCACUUAAGCCCAGAUGACACCAAGUCCAUCUGAGAUGUUCAGGCAAGUGUGAUUCUGAAAUGGUGUGAAAGACCACUGACACAAAACCUCUCUUUUGGGAAACA